GGUGGCUCAGUGGUAGAGCGCUUGCCUUGCAUGCUCAAAGCCCUGGGUUCGAUUCCCCAGCACCA
Non-coding RNA from Dipodomys ordii (Ord's kangaroo rat), 65 nucleotides. NCBI's taxonomy places the organism in Eukaryota, Metazoa, Chordata, Mammalia, Rodentia, Heteromyidae. The record is from Rfam.